UCCUGAAAUGACAAAUGAAAAAUCAUAUCAUUACAUGAUGUGACCAAGCAGUAGCAUUUUUUAAUGUCAGACAUGAAUCUUCCUAAUAUUUAUACAGCUGUCAGCAUCUGGGAAUAAAGGUAGCCAGACAGCCAAGGUUAUUUCUUGACUGUUACAUGGUACCUAUGGAUCAAGUUCAAUGUACUGUGAAGAGCAACUACCUCUUUUUCUUCUCUUGCCAGAAAUAAACAUUUGUUCCAUUUUAAUUUGUUGCCUUUCUUUAAUUUUUUUUAAUUUUCUUUUUUAUUUUCCAAAAUUCUUUUCAGACUUCAGGAUUUUGACUUGGUUUCCAUUCAAAAUACACUUCUUGAGACUUUUUCAUUGGUGCUUUCUGAGACACAAUGGAAAGAAUCCUUUAACUUACAUUAAAAAUUGUUAGUCAUGGUAACAGGUGGCUUGUACAAAAACGUUGGAUUUAUGUUCCACAGUUGCAUGUUAGUUUUUCCACACAUGACAGAUUAGAUAUUGAGGAAGCUAUAAAGUGUUAGCUUUAAGAAGGAAAUCUGAGUGAGGUGAUCUAUACAAACAGCAGAACCAGGAAACAAGAACAUGAAGGGCUGUGACUGAAAUUCUGCCCUGAUUUUCUUGCAUUAUUCAAAGAGGUAUUUAAAUUCAGAGGUAUGGUAACGGGGGGAAAAACUUGACAGAGAAAGCAGAAAGAGUUUCAAACUCCUCUUUUGCUGUAAGUCAAAACUGAACUUCAUGAUGACUAUACCUUGAAUUUCCAGGUGCUGCUGCUCCUCUGUUCUGGUUUUGGGAGUACUGAAUGUCUGAUCAGUGUACUCGCGAUACACUACCUUUCUGUAUUUUGACCCAAUGAAUUUGUCUCCUUUAUUUAAGAAUGGAUUGCCAGGACUGGGGGAAAAA
Long non-coding RNA from Neopsephotus bourkii (Bourke's parrot), 906 nucleotides. RefSeq lists it as uncharacterized. Lineage: Eukaryota; Metazoa; Chordata; Aves; Psittaciformes; Psittacidae. The transcript has 2 exons. The record is from RefSeq and is a predicted model, not a curated record.